CGAUAUAAUCUUUUUGCACAAUAGCAAUAAAUAUCAGCAAUCAGAGGCAAGGAUUCUGAGUACCAAGGUCAUAAGGAGCUGAACAAUGCAGGGCUCAACUUGUGGUCAAUAUUUUGUUUUUACUCGAAAGGUAAAAGUACAAGUAUGCACACACAACGGACACAAAGAAGCAAUCCAAAUACUAUAUAGGGCUACCGAAAAUAACAUCAACGCUAAAUGCAAGUGAACAAGAAGAAAUAACGCCAAGGCCUAGAGUUGAUCU
RNAcentral lists this long non-coding RNA (262 nucleotides) under Hordeum vulgare. Its description in RNAcentral is "long non-coding RNA (HVUL_LNC007910)". Lineage: Eukaryota; Viridiplantae; Streptophyta; Magnoliopsida; Poales; Poaceae. The record is from RNAcentral.